Molecule: long non-coding RNA, 899 nt
Organism: Arvicola amphibius (Eurasian water vole)
Lineage: Eukaryota; Metazoa; Chordata; Mammalia; Rodentia; Cricetidae
Exons: 3
Source: RefSeq, a predicted model, not a curated record
CCCUGUCCCAAAAAACCAACAAAACAAAACAAAAACAGAAAAGUAAACUGUAGGAAAGUUAUAAAAUAGUUUAUGUCAAUCUAAGAAGAUUGCAGCUAAAAUAGCUCUAAUUUUAUCUCCUUGAUUUUAGUAAACUUCUAAGGACCUAGGAAAUACUGUGGACUAGAUGAUAAAAGGUGGCCCGGGAUCUAAUCUAGUCUAACACCACACAGACACGGCUGCUUCCUUCCUGUGCGUUUAGAUGAAUUUCAGGUCUUGCUAAGUGGCUGAAGCUUGGCUCAAACCUGUGAGUCUCUGGAUUCUGUCACCACCCUCCUCUGGCCCCGCUGCAUGUGCUUGUGUAUGUGCUUACAGUAAAGACAGCCACGGGAAGCCUCCUCUGGGAUCCCCUCAUUUUGUCAUUAUCGGACCACAGAACCGCUACACUGGCUUCAUCAGAACUCACUGAAGACCCUGAUUCCCUCUGUCGGAAGACUGAGAUUAGAAUGGCUCUUCAGUGAUUAGACUGUCCUGCUAACAACAGUCCUUUCAAAUUUCUGCAAACUCACUCUCAUUGUGGAAGAUAAUUAAAAUGUUGGGGAAAAAAUACCUCAAAAAUACCAACAGGCCAAAUGUCAUGACAUAUGCCUUUAUCCCAGCACCGUGACGCAGGAAGAGCCAAGUUCGAGGCUAGCCAGUCUGCAUUAUCAAGACCCUCUCUCAAAAAAGUAAAAGUAGAUAAAAGUUCAACAAUUAUUCAUAGGUAAUAAGACUAUAAGUAAAUUUUAAAAAAUAGUUUACCUGUAUCUUUGUUUUCUAAUUUCUCCACAGUGACCAUACCUAACUUUUAUAUUCAAAAAGCCUAAUUUUUAGAGAUAACAUUUUCUAUAAUUUUGGUGUCAUUUCUUUUCUAUUUUUUU